AAUUACAGAGAAAGUCUUUUUGGCAUCCAGAAGAUGAAACUCAGCUCAAAUUACUACAAACUUCAAGUUAAAAGUUGCGCGCAUACUUUUUGGUUUGCUAUCAAAAGCUUGUGAAAAUAACAAGAGGCCUAGGUGGAUUUUUUCUGAAAAUUGGCAAAAGUUAACUAUCCAUUGGGCGACCGAUUUAAGGUUCGAGCAGACGAGAGGGAUUGGAAAAGGAGUUUGGGAAGCUGAUAACGUAGGCUGAGUCUUUCAAGGCUACAUACAUAAGGAAAAAGAAAACCCCUGGAGAUCCUGAUGUUUAGGUUAAGCCACGAGCUGAAAUGACCUAUGUGAUAGUCAAGACCUGCAAUUUAGCCAAGAGCAGAAUGAGAGAAUAUGGUUAGAUGCGGAUGGUGGUCAGAGUAGGUAUGAGUAUGCUUAUGGCUUGCCUCAACAAACCUUUCAUGAAUUUCAUUCGGGACCAGAAAGCCUCGGUAGCUCCCAGGAUGAUGAGUUAAGGGAAAUGAUUUUAGCUUUGAAGAAGCAGAUAGCUGAGCUAUCUAAUGAAGCUAAGGCCUUACAUGCAAGGGAAAGGCAAAGGGAUAUAUAGUAUGUGGUAAUGAAGGCCCAAUUUGAUGCAUUACUUGCUUUAAGGGGGGAAGAUUUUCCCUUGUCUUGGUGACACAGUUCGCCCUCCUCGACCACCCCCGUCUCUACCUAUUUCACAUGGAGUAUAUGGUCAAUAUAGAGAUGUAACUGAGGAGCCCAGCAGUGAUGAAAAUGAUAAGGAUUAUUAUGUGGACAAUGCAU
Long non-coding RNA from Capsicum annuum, 792 nucleotides. RefSeq lists it as uncharacterized. Lineage: Eukaryota; Viridiplantae; Streptophyta; Magnoliopsida; Solanales; Solanaceae. The record is from RefSeq and is a predicted model, not a curated record. The transcript is spliced from 3 exons.